GCUUGUCUCAAAGAUUAAGCCAUGCAUGUCUAAGUAUAGUACCUUAUACUGCGAAACUGCGAAUGGCUCAUUAAAUCAGUUAUAAUUCAUUUGAUGGUACUUACUACUCGGAUAACCGUAGUAAUUCUAGAGCUAAUACAUGCUGUUUAGCCUGACUUCUAGGAAGGGCUGUAUUUAUUAGAUAACAAACCAAUAUUCCUCGUGUCUAUUGUGAUGACUCAUAAUAACUGAUCGAAUCGCAUGGGCUUUGCCCGCGAUACAUCAUUCAAGUUUCUGCCCCAUCAGCUUUCGAUGGUAGUGUAUUGGACUACCAUGGCUUUAACGGGUAACGGAGGAUUAGGGUUCGAUUCCGGAGAGGGAGCCUGAGAAACGGCUACCACAUCCAAGGAAGGCAGCAGG
RNAcentral lists this ribosomal RNA (399 nucleotides) under uncultured Hypotrichia. Its description in RNAcentral is "partial small subunit ribosomal RNA". It matches the Rfam family "Eukaryotic small subunit ribosomal RNA", at positions 30 to 432 of the family's 1831-position model. Lineage: Eukaryota; Ciliophora; Spirotrichea. The record is from RNAcentral.